GGCUGGAUAGCUCAGUUGGUAGAGCACCGGACCGACAAUCCAGAUGUCACAGGUUCAAACCCCGCUCCAGUCA
This is a non-coding RNA of Patiria miniata (bat star), 73 nucleotides long. NCBI's taxonomy places the organism in Eukaryota, Metazoa, Echinodermata, Asteroidea, Valvatida, Asterinidae. The record is from the annotation of a RefSeq genome assembly.